CGGAAAAAGAAAAAAAAGACGAACCUGCGGCAUAAACGUGUCUAUUAAUUGUUCAAAAACGUUAAGAAAAUGUCUACUAAUAAGUUCGUUUAACACCUGGCUGAUAAGGCCACAAGCUCUUACGGUGUGUUCAGAGUGUGUUCAAGGUGUCAAAGGUUUUAAUGGAGCUCAAAAAUAAACACUUGUGAACCAUCAGUUAAAGAGUUCGACCAUCAUUCAGCCGGGGACGCUACAUCCACCGACGUGGAACCCAAACUCUGUGACCACGCAUACCCUAAUCAAUGACAGUGUAAACUCCAGGUAUUUGGGUGGUGUUACUUAACUCACCUGGAAGCACCUGGCCUGCCUUCCUGUUUUGCUCCAGACCUGGCAGAAUCACACUUUAGUGCCAUGUUAAAGGUUUACUUGGCUCGCGCCUUUUUAUUCGUCAUGUUCGGUACUUUUUGUUGUUGUUUUGAAGCAACAAAAUGUCGGAUUUCAACCUUCAAAUAAUGCCUCCAAUAUUAUCUUAACGGUCAACGUAGUCAAUGGCUAGUGGAGGGAUACUUGUUCGAGGGCGACCCGGUCCUGUUACUGUUGGACUAGUAAGUGUAAAACUUGUUUUAUAUACAUGUAUAUGUAGAGCAGAGGUGUCAAACUUCAUUUUGACUACAUCAUACAUGUGGCUGAGGCACACACGCUGUCAAGGGCCAAUCAAGGCCCUCAGUCAGAAUUUGUACAACCCACAGGUUUAGUUUUAUAUUAUUAUAGAAAAUCAGGGUUCGGUGUUUGAAACUCAGCUGUGACAGACAGAUACAUCCUUUAUUUUGUUAUUAUAUCUGACUCCAGAUGUGAUAGAAAGGCAGAAUUCUUUCAUUUUUUGUGGCUUAGAUUUGAUUACAUUGCCAUUUAAAAAUGAUGACUGUGACAAUGAAAAUACAAUUAUUAUAAAACUGUAUUUUUAUGUAACUUUUAGUGUUAAAUGUUCACAUUAUCAAAUCUGGCCCUCGCUUGCAACAUCCAUCCAUCCAUUGUCUAUCAAAACAAGCACAAUAUCAUCAUGAAUAUCUCUAUUGCAAUGUAUUAUUACCCACCCAUGACUAACACUUGUUUUUUUGUCUCUAGUCCGGCCCCCUCUUGACCAGACUAGAUGCUCAUUGGCCCCCAGGUCAUUUGAGUCUGACACCCCUGAUCUAGAGCAUUUGGGUUCACUGUGUGUCUGGCCGUCAUCAUGUCCAUCUCCUUCAUAAAUAGAUCGCGUCACUUCCUGCCCCUGGGUGUUUCCCCUCCAGUCUUGAUUGCCUGCCCUGCCCUGAUUGGAUUCACCUGUGUCUCGUUGUCUCCGUCCACCUCAGGUUCGGCCCGGCUCAAAUCCUCAGUACCAGUCCCCACCUCAGAGGUUGGAAUCCUCCGCUCUAACAUGAAUCUUGUGUGAGUGUGGCUGUACAGCUGAAUGGUUCGGGGGGCCUCUCUACAUGUGUCGGCCCUAAAUGGCUAUUUAAUUGCAGAGCUGCUGGUCGUGAGGCCCUGCUGCGUGGAGAUGAGAGCCUGAGUGCUUCAAUCCUGACCCCUUGAUCUCGCCUCUCAUUCCGUCUUUGCCUCCUUCGUUUUCUGUCAUCGGUGCUUUUGUCCCUCGCCCUCCCUCCCUCCCUCCCCCCCCCCGUCUCUUUUUACAGUGAACGCCGCACACUGGCCGCACAGAUGCAUUUCUCUCUGUGGUAAAUAGUCAAAUGUUCAUCCCAGCGGGGAGAAGGUCUCCUGCAGGGCUGAAGCUGGUCGGGCCAAGUUUGUUAAUCCACAUGAGUGUGGGGGCCUGGCAGGUGCCUGUGUUUUAAAGUAGCAAACAGUGACAUGGACAUAAAGAGAAAAGCACACACACACAACAGACGACGCUGCUCCAUCAUCUAAUAGGAGCAGCAGGUCGUGUGGAUAGUUCAAUAACCUUCACUGUCAAAAAGAAAACAAGAACAGUUUAAUUUACAUGUUAUUUGCAGUUUCAUAUUGGUACAGCAUAGUUGAAAUAACUUAUUUCUAAUGCAGCAUUGCAAUAAUACCUUGUUAUUUCUGAAGUCACAUCCAGGUUAUAGCUUGGACAUUAGAAUUACUGUAGGUUACCAUCUAUGUAAAGAAUGAUCACUUUAUCCAGUGCUAUAACCAAGCUAUUGCUUGAGAAACUGGCAUUGACAUGAUAUAACUUAACUUUUUUAAUACCAAGCUAUUACCACUAAACAAACAGAGCUUUGCACACAGCUUUUUUAUGUGUUAAAUAAAAACUGAAACACAAGGUGUAACUACUCCGAAGUACAAAACCAUUAUAUUUAAGCCUCCUGGUAGGAAGUCAACGAAUUGGAACUUCUGUGGUACGAGUGCUGCACCGAUCACUUUCAGGAGGUGAAGCAGACAUGGAAACAACUCAAUCACAGGAAGGAACUGUGUUGAUCUGCUUUGCUUAGAGACAGGAGGUCAUAUGUGCGGAGGAGGGGGGCGGAGCCUGCAGCUCAGGAUGUUGUUCUUUUUCGUUUGUGUGGUAAUUCUGCUGUAGAUACAUGGCGGCACAAAAUGGCAGCCUCUGUAAAGCAAGGGCCUUGCCUAAAAUAUAAAAAAACGCUUAUUCAAAAGCAGGGGUCUCUCAGACGACACGUUUGUGCGAUUGUACUUUUGCAUUACCGUAAUUACGCAACGGUUUGUGCUAUCGCCAUUUUUUUUAAAUUUGUUUUAUACUGUUUAGAUUAGAAUCUGGCGUUCAUGUACAACUUUUUGUUUUUCUUCAUUUGAAAUUGUUAAUACACUUAUUUAACUUGGUGUGAGUUGUAAAAAACUGCCACAUAUUGAAACUUAUUCUGGAAAAAUGGGAAUCAGAAACCAUUUUCUGGCCCUUUUAUGGAGAAUUAGGUGUUUAUGGGUUAAAAAAACAACAGAACUUAAUUAUUAUAACUAGAUUCAAAAUGGCGGGCUGCAUUAAAAUUGAUAGGAGGGCUGUAUUUAGCCCAUUGGUCAAAUUCAAGUUUGAAACCCCUGUUCUAAGGCAACAAAAAUCAAAUGUUUUUUUAAUUUUUUUUAUCAUGAAGCAAUUAUACACAUAUACAGACAUACUAGCAUAUAAUACAUUUCUACAAAUGUGCACUUCACUGGAUAUUUAAAAACUAAAACACCAGCUUCAACAUAAAAAAAUUCAGUUAUCACAACAAAAAAAAAAGAAUAAUCAUAUACUAACGAUUAGGUCUCAGUGUUCAGUGGUUAACAGACAGAUGGAUGGGCAGAUGGAAGGAGGGACAGUUUUGUGGUUCUGUCAGACUGAAGCAGGGGGGAUACUUAAUGAUCAAUUUCUUUGUUGUCCCUCCCAAACACUAAAUCCUCGUGAGCUUAAAUCGGAAAUAUUGCCACGCUGUUGUGUUUUUCUCCCCAAAGUUCAGAGGGAUUUAAAAGAA
Long non-coding RNA from Solea solea (common sole), 3407 nucleotides. RefSeq lists it as uncharacterized. NCBI's taxonomy places the organism in Eukaryota, Metazoa, Chordata, Actinopteri, Pleuronectiformes, Soleidae. The record is from RefSeq and is a predicted model, not a curated record. The transcript is spliced from 5 exons.